This 497-nucleotide ribosomal RNA is filed under the name uncultured bacterium. RNAcentral describes it as "partial 16S ribosomal RNA". It matches the Rfam family "Bacterial small subunit ribosomal RNA", at positions 28 to 507 of the family's 1533-position model. The record is from RNAcentral.
GAUGAACGCUGGCGGCGUGCCUAAUACAUGCAAGUCGAGCGAACAGACGAGGAGCUUGCUCCUCUGACGUUAGCGGCGGACGGGUGAGUAACACGUGGAUAACCUACCUAUAAGACUGGGAUAACUUCGGGAAACCGGAGCUAAUACCGGAUAACAUGUUGAACCGCAUGGUUCAACAGUGAAAGACGGUCUUGCUGUCACUUAUAGAUGGAUCCGCGCCGCAUUAGCUAGUUGGUAAGGUAACGGCUUACCAAGGCAACGAUGCGUAGCCGACCUGAGAGGGUGAUCGGCCACACUGGAACUGAGACACGGUCCAGACUCCUACGGGAGGCAGCAGUAGGGAAUCUUCCGCAAUGGGCGAAAUCCUGACGGAGCAACGCCGCGUGAGUGAAGAAGGUCUUCGGAUCGUAAAACUCUGUUAUUAGGGAAGAACAAAUGUGUAAGUAACUAUGCACGUCUUGACGGUACCUAAUCAGAAAGCCACGGCUAACUACGUG